GUACACCCCUCACACACAGUAUAUCACAAAAGUGAGUACACCCCUCACAUUUUUAUAAAUAUUUGAUAAUAUCUUUUCACAUAUAUAUUUAUAUUAUAUUAUAUUAUAUUUAUAUUAUAUUAUAUUUAUAUUUAUAUAUUUCUCUCUCUCUGUCUCUCUCUCUCUCAGGUACCCGGCCUGAACACCGCCGGAAAGGCUGGAAUUGGUGUUUCUGUCUUCAUUUUCAUCGUCAUAGGCGUGAUAUGUGGGAUACAAUGUUACAGGAAAAUCGGCAGGUUCUAGGCUGUCGUUCAGGACGAUCAGCAGGAAGCAGCUGACUGACUCACUUUAGUGUUACACUGGCUGUAUAUUAUUAACUAAUUCUCUAGCACUUCCUGUGUAUGCAUUUAUAGAGGUGUUACGUUCUUAUUUACUGGAUUAGCAAGCUAGCAUCCCAAAGUCCAGGCUUUAUGUUAGAUAAGCAGUUCCUCUCCAGCUCACAAGAUUAUUUUAAUAACAAAAAAUUCAUAAUGAACUUCUGUAUACACUUUUACAAGUCUGUUUUGAAUCUUACUGGCUAACAUUCUUUUUAAAAUGUAUUGCGUUCUUUAGACACACACACACAUUUUCAUAAAUAAAAAAAAUAGGUAGGAUAUAUUUAACCAAAAUCAACAGUCGCAUUUCACAUUAACAUUAUCAUUAACAUAACCCUGAGCCUAGGUAGAUUUUAAUAUUUACACACUUCAUGCAAAUUUAUUCACCUUUUUAACUGCCACAGAGAACUGUGAGGCACCCAGAAUGCUGGCGAGGAAGGAAGGGUAUAUUCGACGCAUCAAGACACACACCUGAGACGUUGGGACACUAAUCAGCUAAUGCUGUUUUUUAAAUGUACUUUUUAAAUUGAAUUUACUUAUAUUAUAAGCUUGCUUUAUUUCUUUUAAUGAAAUGUUUAGUGAAAUGUACUUGUUAGCAGAGAUGCUCAGUAAGAGUGUCUUUGUGUAACAGAGGCAGUUGGCUGUUCAUGCAAAUGUUAGCUAGCGAUAACUAGCAAGCUAGCAUAGUGCCACUCUUUUAUACACCUCAUUGUUCAGUUUAUUAUCUAAAAAAAAACUCUUAGACAACUCUUAGCUUUUAUCUGAAAUUAACAAGACAUAAAUUUUGAUAACAACAACAGUUCUAAUAAUGCAAAUACUACUGCUACUAGUACUACUAAUAAUAAUAUUAACAAUGCCGGGUGUCUCUGGAUAUCUGGAAAGGUCACACAUUUAUAAUGAAUAUAUAAGGACAUCUAUACGCUAUCAGCCUUUUGGCUAGUUUGCUAAUAUUUUCCGAUAUUAUCACGACAUUAUUUUACUACGUUGCUAAAUCAGUAGUUCUGGCAACAUUCAGCUGUUAUGCUGCCUUCCUUCUGAAUGGGACACUACCGUUAUAUCACUGGAGAAAACGUUGUGUUAAUUAGUAAUAAAUUUAUCGUGUGAUAUUAGUGUAUUUAUUGUUGUCUUCGAAUAACAUUCCACAGUGUGUGUGAGCGGAUUUACAGCCAGAAUAUACAUUUCAGCCUGACAUAUUGUCGUUCCAUCAAACUGUCAGACGGUGGCGCUGGACUAAACACCGCUCCUCACGCCAGCCGAUAUCACACAACAAACGUGCUUAAGAUCAAGAUCAGAAUCGAGCGGAACCGAGACACGCCCCCGUUCUAGAUAAACUCCGCCCCCGUGUGCUUAACUUCUGAAUAGUGUUGAAGUCAGUAGUUACGUCUGAGGUCUAAAUACUGAUGUGUGGAAUUUCAGUGUUUAGGAGAUGAUCUCAGAGAUGAACUCUACUCUUAUAUUAUCUUAUUGUAUAACUGAUUACUGACGUUAUAUUAUAGACAAUGAUUAUAUAUAUUAAUAUCCACUUCUAUACAUAAAACUAAUAUGAACUAUUAAUAUUCAUGCCAGUUCUAUUAUUAUUAUUAUUAGUAGUAGUAGUAGUAGUAGUAGUAGUAGUAGUAGUAGUAGUAGUACAGUACUUCCGUGAAGUGAGUACUUGUGUCUGAUUUUGCCUUUUUUCCCUUCAGAUGGAAAAUUUUAUGCCAUGUCAUUUUGAUCUUUUGUAGAAUUCGAUCAUCCAGUCAAUUAUUCCUCUCAGUUCCUCGUUCAUGUUUUAAGGCUAAAGGUGACCAGGCUUUCUCAGUGGCUGCUCCUAAGCUUUGGAAUAGACUUCUUCUAUACAUUAGAGCUUCCUCUGCCAUUUCUGUGUUUAAAUCCUCUUUGAAGACUUAUUUGUAUUCUUUAUGUUUUAAUCGAGGGUGUAAAUUUUUCAUUCUUCCUUUUUGGUUUUUGUUUACUCAUUUAAUUUGUUUUAAUUCUGUUUUAUGUUUUAUAUUUCUUGUGCAGUGCUUUGCUUUCAACAUUUGUUGUUUUAAAUGUGCUUUAUAAAUCUGCACUGGUUUUUACUGAUGAUAAUCUAAUUUUAAUAAUGUUUUGUGAUUGUGUGAUUAUUGUUCUGCUUUGCAUAAACACAGCCAAUAAAGUGUGUAACACUGUGUGUGUGUGUGUGUUUUAUUUUUAUUGCCUGUUAUGUAAAAAAAAAAAAAAAAAAUUAAAAUUAAAUUCCAGAUUUACUCUCCUUUUAGUGUUAUAAUGCGCUCCACUCUUCUGCGAAGGCAUUCCACUAGAUUUUGGGGCGGGG
Molecule: long non-coding RNA, 2652 nt
Organism: Ictalurus punctatus (channel catfish)
Lineage: Eukaryota; Metazoa; Chordata; Actinopteri; Siluriformes; Ictaluridae
Source: Ensembl